This is a non-coding RNA of Morus notabilis, 112 nucleotides long. The record is from Rfam. Lineage: Eukaryota; Viridiplantae; Streptophyta; Magnoliopsida; Rosales; Moraceae.
GGGAGCACAGUACGAUGAAAGUUGUAAGCUGUGUUUGGGGGGGAGUUAUUGUCUAUCGUUGGCCUAUAUGGUAGAAGCAGUCGGGGGCCUGAAAGGCAGUGGUUUACCCUGU